UCUCUGGAGAGCGCGAAAGCCACCCACGGGGAAGACUCGUCAUGAGUUAAACUCUCAGGUAAAAAGGACUGAGA
RNAcentral lists this non-coding RNA (74 nucleotides) under Virgibacillus necropolis. Its description in RNAcentral is "Glycine sequence". It matches the Rfam family "Glycine riboswitch aptamer", at positions 8 to 87 of the family's 94-position model. From Rfam's summary of the family: This family represents the bacterial glycine riboswitch. Glycine riboswitches usually consist of two metabolite-binding aptamers domains with similar structures in tandem. The aptamers cooperatively bind glycine to regulate the expression of downstream genes. Lineage: Bacteria; Bacillati; Bacillota; Bacilli; Caryophanales; Bacillaceae. The record is from Rfam by way of RNAcentral.